Molecule: ribosomal RNA, 552 nt
Filed under: bacterium RHINE4
Lineage: Bacteria
Description: bacterial SSU rRNA
Rfam family: Bacterial small subunit ribosomal RNA
Source: RNAcentral
ACGACCCUUCGGGUUAGUGGCGCACGGGUGCGUAACGCGUGGGGAUCUGCCCUUUGCUUCGGAAUAACAGUUAGAAAUGACUGCUAAUACCGGAUGAUGUCGAAAGACCAAAGAUUUAUCGGCAAAGGAUGAACCCGCGUAGGAUUAGCUAGUUGGUGGGGUAAAGGCCUACCAAGGCGACGAUCCUUAGCUGGUCUGAGAGGAUGAUCAGCCACACUGGGACUGAGACACGGCCCAGACUCCUACGGGAGGCAGCAGUGGGGAAUAUUGGACAAUGGGCGAAAGCCUGAUCCAGCAAUGCCGCGUGAGUGAUGAAGGCCUUAGGGUUGUAAAGCUCUUUUACCAGGGAUGAUAAUGACAGUACCUGGAGAAUAAGCUCCGGCUAACUCCGUGCCAGCAGCCGCGGUAAUACGGAGGGAGCUAGCGUUGUUCGGAAUUACUGGGCGUAAAGCGCACGUAGGCGGCGACNUCAAGUCAGAGGUGAAAGCCCGGGGCUCAACCCCGGAACUGCCUUUGAAACUAGGUUGCUAAAAUCUUGGAGAGGUCAGUGGA